GACGAACGCUGGCGGCGUGCUUAACACAUGCAAGUCGAACGGAGAGGCCCUGCGUUGGGGGGGUGCGCGGAAGGCGAGCGGAUGAGGAGCGCAUGAUUCACCUGCCCUUGGCUUUAGUCUAACUUCAGGGGGCUAAGACUGAUACCUCAUAGCAGCUCCUACUGCAGGGGGGGGGAUGGAUAUUUUCUGCGGGUGGGGAUGGCCUCGCGGCUUAUCAGCUUGUUGGUGGGGUAGUGGCCUACCAAGGCGUUGACGGGUAGCCGGCCUGAGAGGGUGACCGGCCACACUGGGACUGAGACACGGCCCAGACUCCUACGGGAGGCAGCAGUGGGGAAUAUUGCACAAUGGGCGGAAGCCUGACGCAGCAACGCCGCGUGCGGGAUGACGGCCUUCGGGUUGUAAACCGCUUUCGGCUGUGACGAAGCGCGAGUGACGGUACUGGCUAAAGAAGCACCGGCCAACUACGUG
RNAcentral lists this ribosomal RNA (468 nucleotides) under uncultured bacterium. RNAcentral describes it as "partial 16S ribosomal RNA". It matches the Rfam family "Bacterial small subunit ribosomal RNA", at positions 28 to 507 of the family's 1533-position model. The record is from RNAcentral.